Macaca mulatta (Rhesus monkey) is the source of this 3247-nucleotide non-coding RNA. The record is from RefSeq and is a predicted model, not a curated record. NCBI's taxonomy places the organism in Eukaryota, Metazoa, Chordata, Mammalia, Primates, Cercopithecidae.
AUGGGGUUUGCCUGUGUUGGCCAUGCUGGACUCGAACUCCUGACCUCAGGUGGUAACACCUACCUUGGCCUCCCAAAGUGCUGGGAUUACAGGUGUGAGCUGCUGUACCCGGCCUGCAAAUUUUCUUACAAAAAGUAGGAAAAUAGGGCAGGUAUAAAAAUUACAGGUUGAGCAUAUUUCUAAUCCAAGAAGCUCCAACCUCUGAAACUGAGCUGUGACAUAACAAUUAUAAAAUCCCUAGCCUACCCUCAUGGUGGUUUAUAGUCAAAAUGCAGGUACACAACACUUCAUUGUCCCUGAGGAACAAGUAGUUAACCUUCAGGGUAUGUGGAUAUGAAGCAUAAGUGAAUUUCCUGUAUAGACCUAGGUCCCAAGUGUUUCAGAUAAGAUACCUUGUAUAUAGUAGGUUGGACUUCUGGUUCUCUCUGCCACAAAAUUUAGGUAAUUUGGGGGCAAUCCUGACCUCAGGUGGUCUGUCUGCCUUGGUCUUCCAAAGUGCUGGGAUUAUAGGUGUGAGCCACUGCUUCUGGCCAGGAAUACAUUUUAAAUGAAGCUCAUUUUUUAACCAAAAGCUAGCUUCAAGCUUCACUGAGGUAAAGGAAAAAGCACAUUGAUUUGCUUGAUAAUAGGUAAGUGGUAUGGUGUGAUGAGGAAAAUAGGGACAAUUUGGGAUUAGCUGUUCUACUCUGGGAGGUAGAGAAUUGUUUAGAGAAAGUGGAAUCUACAGCUAAAAUGAGAAGGUGGCGUAAAGGGAAGAAUGACAUCAGAUAGGAAAUAAACGAAUUGAUAAUGUAGACUGGCUUGGGACCACAAGGAAGUAGGUUAGUGGUUAGAUCCUGUAGGGGAACACAGGAAGCUACUGAGGGUUUUUUUAAAUGGAGUGAUAUCUCAGAUUUAGAUCAUUGAACUGGUAAGACUGAAACUUACGGGAUCAAGACUGGGAAUGCCGGGGUUGGCAGUAUAAUCCAAGGAAGUGGCAGUGGUAAUGCCAUUUACGUGGUCUUGAUCAUGCAUUGGACUGCAGAAAUAAGUGAGGAAACAAUGUGACGGGGUUUCUGGUUUGUACCUCUGGCUCAUUGGUUGUGAGGGAACAUGAGGCAGGGUAAAGUUUAUCCAGGUAAAAUGAGUUAGAUAUGUAGACUAUCUGGGUGUAUAUGCAGACUGCAGACAAUCAUGCUAAAAUCCUGGCUCUGCCUCUUGAAAGCUAUGUAGUUUAGGCACAUAGCCAAAACCCAGUUUCCUCAUCUAUGUGGUAAGCUUCAGAGCAGUUAAUAAAUCGUGAUAUGUAGUCCAGUGACUGGUUCCCCUGGUAAGAGCUGUGAUAAUGACACAAGGAGGAGAGGUUUCAGGACAAACUUGGGAUUCAUGAAUAUAUAAGUAGUCACUGACUGCCCAGGGGUAGAAUGACAACAAUCAAGAGAUGAGUAGAGAGGUUGGAAAGGAGUCAUGAGGGGUGGGAAACUAGCAGGGCACAUAGAAGCCAGGGAAAGAAUUUUGCUUGAGAUUGUCAAAGUGAGGGGAAAAGGGCAGUAAGUGAAGGAGAAAUGUAUGGGGUUCGGAGGUUUUGUUUUUGUAAAUCUGGAGUGAUGGGCAUGUUCAAAUACUUCUGGGAAAGGAGCUAAUAGUAGAGAAGCUUGGCCCUUCGAAAAACAGGAAGGGAGGGAUCCUAGGGGAGAGGAGGAAGGAUUAGCUUUAGAAGAAAGAUGCCCUCUUUACAUGAGGAAAAGGAAGAAAAGGUGGGUUUAGAUGGUAAAUCUGUAGGUUUGCUGUUAGGAAAUGAAGACUUUUCACCUUGGUCUCUGAAGUUUUUCUGGAGUUAGCAAGGCAAGGUCAUAUACUGAGAAGAAGGGAUGAGGGAAUGUAGAUUUGCAGACAUACAGGUUGUAAUUGCUUAUGGAGGAAAGGGGAGAGCACUUCUGUCAGACUGCCAGCGGCCUUGAGGGCCCUUUGGCUACAGUCCAUGAGGUGCUCAGAAGAUAAAGCUUCAGGGUAGAAGCAGUAUUCAAGCUGCACCUAGAAAAUAGUGCGAUAUAAAACAGUGGAAAUUGGAAAUUCCAAUCUUGGAAUCUCUAGGAAAGUAACUGAGGCAUAUGAUGCCUGAAAAGGAGUAGAAAAUAAAAUUAAUAAGGUGGGGCCAUAUGAUAAAAGAUUUGAGGCCUGGCACUGUGGCUCACACCUGUAAUCCCAGCACUUUGGGAGGCUGAGGCAGGUAGAUCACCUGAGGUCAGGAGUCCAAGACCAGCUUGGUCAACAUGGUGAAACCCCGUCUCUACUGAAAAUACAAAAAUUAGACAGGCAUGGAGCAUGCCUGUAAUCCCAGCUACCUGGGAGACAGGCAGGAGUAUCACUUGAAACCAGGAGGUGGAGGUUGCAGUGAGCUGACAUCACACCAUUGCACUCCAGCUUGUGCGACAGAGGGAAACUGUCUCAAAAGAAAAAAAGACUUGAGCAAGGGAGUACUCUUCAGGAAGUUUAGUAGUAUAGUAUGGAUUGGAUUGGGGGAUGGGGAAGGAGAGCAGAAAAUUGUCGAAAUAUCCAGGUACAUAAAAGUCUACUUUGAUUAUGGAGAACUACACACUUGUUCAGUCACCCUCAUUGGAGAUAGGGGAUGGCAUACGAAAAGAAUGCUGAUUUUGGGCUGGGCACGGUGGCUCACGCCUUUAAUCCCAGCACUUUGGGAGGCCGAGGGAGGUGGAUCACAGGUUCGAGACCAGCCUGGCCAAUGAAACCCAGUCUCUAUUAAAAAUAAAAAUAAAAAAAAAUAUGCUGAUUUGAGUCAUAUUCAGGUUUAAAUUCCGUCAUUCAGCCCAAACUCAUUACGUUACUUAUGUGAGUCUCAUCUAAAAAGCAAAGAUCCUGAUACCUGCCUCAUAUUAUGGCAAGGAUCAAAUGAGUCAAAUAAGAUGCUUGUGAAAGUGAGGACAGGAUCUAUCCUCAACACCUGGCACAAUUCUUUUUACACAUUAGGUACUUACUAAUUUGGGUUGAAUUGUGUUGAACUAACCUGGCGGUAUAGGCAAAAUUUGGAAGUUUGUUUUUCAGAAAGUCUUGACUUCCUCUAAUCUCUAAGUAAUUGGCAUGUCCUCUAAUUCAUAUUUUUCCCCUCUCAUCUGUUGGGUGAAAUACUGUUUAUCCCUUAGUACUAAAAUUAAAGGCUACCUCAUUCUUCUAGUUAGCUGAUUUUUAAAAAUCUAGACUAAACCAUAAGUCAUUUACAUUUAAAUAAAAUAUUACAGUUGAAAGUAAA